GUUUCUGUAGUGUAGUGGUUAUCACGUUUGCCUAACGCAUCAAAAGGUCCCUGGUUCGAGACCGGGCAGAGACA
Non-coding RNA from Ameiurus melas (black bullhead), 74 nucleotides. The record is from the annotation of a GenBank genome assembly. NCBI's taxonomy places the organism in Eukaryota, Metazoa, Chordata, Actinopteri, Siluriformes, Ictaluridae.